This 468-nucleotide ribosomal RNA is filed under the name uncultured bacterium. RNAcentral's name for it is "partial 16S ribosomal RNA". It matches the Rfam family "Bacterial small subunit ribosomal RNA", at positions 28 to 507 of the family's 1533-position model. The record is from RNAcentral.
GAUGAACGCUGGCGGCGUGCCUAACACAUGCAAGUCGAACGAAAAGGCGCGGCGCUUGUUUGUUUCUCGUUUGGCGAAGGGGUGAGUGACACGUGAGUAUCCUGUCCCUGUCUUUGUGGUAAAUUCAGGGAAAUGGGGCGCUAAUCCCGUAUAAUCUCUUGAUCCGCAGGGUUGAUAGGUGAAAGUCGGCGGUGCUGUAUGGUAUCGAGGGUUAUCAGCUUGUUUGUGUGGUUGUGGCUUACGAGGGCUUUGACGGGUAGCCUGCGUGAGAGGGUGAACGGCCACAUUGGGACUGCGGUACGGACCAGACUCCUACGGGAGGCAGCAGUGGGGAAUAUUGCACAAUGGGCGGAAGCCUGAUGCAGAAACGCCGCGUGCGGGAUGACGGCCUUCGGGUUGUAAACCGAUUUCGACUGUGACGAAGCGUGAGUGACGGUAAUGGGUAAAGAAGCAACGGCUAACUACGUG